CACACACUCAUAUACACACACACACAGUCAUAUAUGCAUACACACACACCAGACCAAUGUUUUUGUGUAAAAUACGACUGACGUGUCGCCUCCUGAACGCAUCACGGAGGCUGAAGAUCCACCCAGACUCUGGUCAUUGUCCCACCCCAUCCAGCCAGGUGCAUUGUGGGUAUCCAGGUAAACACACACCUGACUAUGAACCGUAAAUAUUUUGUUUUCUUCUCGUCACAAACGAUUCAUUCUGACGUCAGAGAGCGAUUCUUAAAGCUCAACAUGUUUACGUGUUUGUGUUUAUUUUAAUGUUGUCAUUGGUUCUCAGGUGUUGAGAUUAAUAAACACGUGUUCUAGAAUCAGAGGUUCUAGACGUCAAAGACACGUUCUAGAACCUUCAAGUCUUCGUGUUCUCGAAUUUGUUUAUUUUAAGGGACAUGAAAUAUAAAAUAUUCUAGAACAGUGAGAAAGAUGUGCUGAAAUGAUUCUAGAACCUCCAGAACGAGAGUUCUCCGUCUCUGUGGAACCUAAAAGCAGAACGUCAAACGUGUUCAACAAAAUGAUUUAGACGAGAUGUCAGAACCACCGACUUAAAUCUGAGUGAAGUGUGUGUGUGGUUCCACGUUCCUCCGUCACGGGACGGUUUUUUAAAACGCGGGACACGUUCCACAGAAUCUAAACGAGUUCUAUACAUCAGAACGUGUGAGGUUCCGACGUGAAAAACACGCAUUCUAGAAUAUUCAAGUCUCUGUGUUCUCGAAUUUGUAGCAGUUUAUUCAAAAGGACAUAAAAUGUGUGAGAGAGGAAUGUGCUGAGAUGACUCUAGAACCCUGUAGAACCUGACGCAGAACGUCAAAUGUGUUGAACCCUUCAACUAAAUGGUUUUGGGAUAAGAUGCGUUCCAGAAAAUCAAAUGGAUUCUAGAGUGUAGAUGGAUGGUUCUAGAAUCAGAACCGAUGAUGUGAAUGCGUGUGGGGUUCCACGUUCUAGUAUCUGAAGCCGUGUGCUUCACGUCAGCAGAGGGUUCUACACAGACGACAGACUCCAGAGCGGAGUUAUCAAACGACCGGCUCUACAGACGGAAACGCUAAAACUAACUUGACAGCAACUUCGGACUUCAACAGAACCAAAAUGUGACGGAACCCACGACCACAGACUCGAAUCAGGAACGUUCUAGAUUCAAACCAGACCGGGACCCAGAGUAAGAGAACCCUCUGAAAUAUGUUUUCCUUUCAGGUGUUCAGGCACAGGAGACGUGGAUCAGGCAACAUGGCUGCUAACGGUGACGUCACCGGUGGGUGGAGCUACAUCAGCUACGAGCACACAGCAUUGUGGGAGAUGGAGUUCCUUCCAUAAACACCUCUGACUGAGUUCUAACGGUUAUGAAGCUGAAACACUCCAUGAAGAAGAGAGAUUCAGCAAACAUCUUCCUACAUGUGACCUGCAGGGAGGCGGGGUCAGCAAACUGCUCUGUGAUUGGACGAGUUCCUUCCAUGUGACCACGUAGACCUUCUGUAUAAAUGCAGAUGGAGACAGACGAUGGUUCAGCUUUCCGUCUUCCCGAAGACCCGGUCCUUCAUGAACCCCCACAGACUCAGACCGGACCAACUCCCAAUCCUCCCCCGCCGCCCCCCCACGGCGGUCUCAAGCGGUCUGAAAUGGUUUCAGGAAAAAGGGGAGGGAGGAGGUCUUCCUGUUCACUUGAAACAGUUCCAGACCUGCUUUGACUCUGGAGCGAAUGAUAUUUGAGGACCUCAGGAUCGGAUCCUCAAAGAGGUUUUAAAACUGAACCAGAUUUAAUUUGUUGUUUUCAAUUUUUAGCCACAUUUCUGUUUAUUAUUGCCACAAAUGUUCCAGGUUAUUCCAAAUAAGACGGGGUCGCUGGUCUUCUUUCGGGAGCUCGAACCAGGAAACUUCCUAACAGGGUCUAAAGAAGUCUGGACACUUAUGAUGAAUAACAGAUGACUCGUCUCGGUCGUACUCGUCCCAUCUCGGUCGCAGUCGUCCCGUCUCGGUCGCAGUCUUCCUGUCUUGAUGUGCUGGAUCCUGCAGCCCACUAUGUUCCUUCUGGGCUGAGCCAGAGUCUUACUGGGACCAACACUGGUCCUCUGUUUCCUGCAGGGAGAGAAGAAGAAAGAGGAGAGAAACCGAUGAAGAAGAGGAGGAUGAGAAGGAUAACUUCACCACAGAGAGAGAAGAAACACCCUGAAACUGUUUUAGUGUUCAGAGGGUUCAUAACUCCAAACAUCUGAUUCCAUCCGUCAGACUUACUUGUGAGAGUUCUUCUUCUUCAUCAUGUUUGCAGAAACGCCAGAAUGUCCUGAAACACACAAACGCAGCAUCCAUCACUGACCAGGUGGUGCGUUCAAGGACGCCUCAGGAAACGUUUUAAUGUGGAAAACAAACCAACUAAAUUCCCAAACAUCACUUAUAACUGACUCACCCCCGUCUGCUCGGGGGGGCCGCGGGGCCCCUGGGCUCUUGAAUGGGGUCUUCAUUCAUCCACCUGUAAGGGGGGCAGCCAGCCAGGCUGCCGGUCCAGACUAAA
Long non-coding RNA from Anarrhichthys ocellatus (wolf-eel), 2539 nucleotides. RefSeq lists it as uncharacterized. The record is from RefSeq and is a predicted model, not a curated record. The transcript is spliced from 3 exons. NCBI's taxonomy places the organism in Eukaryota, Metazoa, Chordata, Actinopteri, Perciformes, Anarhichadidae.